This 1009-nucleotide ribosomal RNA is filed under the name uncultured bacterium. RNAcentral describes it as "bacterial SSU rRNA". It matches the Rfam family "Bacterial small subunit ribosomal RNA", at positions 355 to 1375 of the family's 1533-position model. The record is from RNAcentral.
UCGAGAAUCAUUCACAAUGGGGGAAACCCUGAUGGUGCGACGCCGCGUGGGGGAAUGAAGGUCUUCGGAUUGUAAACCCCUGUCAUGUGGGAGCAAAUUAAAAAGAUAGUACCACAAGAGGAAGAGACGGCUAACUCUGUGCCAGCAGCCGCGGUAAUACAGAGGUCUCAAGCGUUGUUCGGAAUCACUGGGCGUAAAGCGUGCGUAGGCUGUUUCGUAAGUCGUGUGUGAAAGGCGCGGGCUCAACCCGCGGACGGCACAUGAUACUGCGAGACUAGAGUAAUGGAGGGGGAACCGGAAUUCUCGGUGUAGCAGUGAAAUGCGUAGAUAUCGAGAGGAACACUCGUGGCGAAGGCGGGUUCCUGGACAUUAACUGACGCUGAGGCACGAAGGCCAGGGGAGCGAAAGGGAUUAGAUACCCCUGUAGUCCUGGCAGUAAACGGUGCACGCUUGGUGUGCGGGGAAUCGACCCCCUGCGUGCCGGAGCUAACGCGUUAAGCGUGCCGCCUGGGGAGUACGGUCGCAAGAUUAAAACUCAAAGAAAUUGACGGGGACCCGCACAAGCGGUGGAGUAUGUGGCUUAAUUCGAUGCAACGCGAAGAACCUUACCUGGGCUUGACAUGUAAUGAACAACAUGUGAAAGCAUGCGACUCUUCGGAGGCGUUACACAGGUGCUGCAUGGCCGUCGUCAGCUCGUGUCGUGAGAUGUUUGGUUAAGUCCAGCAACGAGCGCAACCCCUGUUGCCAGUUACCAGCACGUGAAGGUGGGGACUCUAGCGAGACUGCCCAGAUCAACUGGGAGGAAGGUGGGGACGACGUCAGGUCAGUAUGGCCCUUAUGCCCAGGGCUGCACACGUACUACAAUGCCCAGUACAGAGGGGGCCGAAGCCGCGAGGCGGAGGAAAUCCUAAAAACUGGGCCCAGUUCGGACUGUAGGCUGCAACCCGCCUACACGAAGCCGGAAUCGCUAGUAAUGGCGCAUCAGCUACGGCGCCGUGAAUACGUUCCC